CAGCCGCCGCGGUAAUACGGAGGGAGCUAGCGUUGUUCGGAAUCACUGGGCGUAAAGCGCACGUAGGCGGACUUUUAAGUCAGGGGUGAAAUCCCAAGGCUCAACCUUGGAACUGCCUUUGAUACUGGAAGUCUUGAGUUCGGGAGAGGUGAGUGGAACUGCGAGUGUAGAGGUGAAAUUCGUAGAUAUUCGCAAGAACACCAGUGGCGAAGGCGGCUCACUGGCCCGAUACUGACGCUGAGGUGCGAAAGCGUGGGGAGCAAACAGGAUUAGAUACCCCGGUAGUCCCUGUCUCUUAUAC
This 301-nucleotide ribosomal RNA is filed under the name uncultured bacterium. RNAcentral's name for it is "partial 16S ribosomal RNA". It matches the Rfam family "Bacterial small subunit ribosomal RNA", at positions 509 to 807 of the family's 1533-position model. The record is from RNAcentral.